RNAcentral lists this ribosomal RNA (143 nucleotides) under uncultured Bacteroidota bacterium. RNAcentral's name for it is "uncultured Bacteroidetes bacterium partial 16S ribosomal RNA". It matches the Rfam family "Bacterial small subunit ribosomal RNA", at positions 584 to 726 of the family's 1533-position model. Lineage: Bacteria; Pseudomonadati; Bacteroidota. The record is from RNAcentral.
UAAGUCAGAGGUGAAAUCCUGCAGCUCAACUGUAGAAUUGCCUUUGAUACUGGUAAUCUUGAAUUAUAUUGAAGUAGUUAGAAUGUGUAGUGUAGCGGUGAAAUGCAUAGAUAUUACAUAGAAUACCGAUUGCGAAGGCAGAU